GCAGUGGUGGUUCAGUGGUAGAAUUUUUGGCUCCGAUGCAGAAGACCUUGGUUUGAUUCCGGACCAAUGUA
RNAcentral lists this transfer RNA (71 nucleotides) under Loxodonta africana (African savanna elephant). It matches the Rfam family "tRNA". From Rfam's summary of the family: Transfer RNA (tRNA) molecules are approximately 80 nucleotides in length. Their secondary structure includes four short double-helical elements and three loops (D, anti-codon, and T loops). The record is from Rfam by way of RNAcentral. Lineage: Eukaryota; Metazoa; Chordata; Mammalia; Proboscidea; Elephantidae.